GACGGAAUUUACCGGAUAACUCAACGGCAGCUAAUUCCGUGCCAACAGCCACGGUAAUACGGGAGUGGCGAGCGUUAUCCGGAAUUAUUGGGCGUAAAGCGUCCGCAGGCGGCCCUUCAAGUCUGCUGUUAAAAAGUGGAGCUUAACUCCAUCAUGGCAGUGGAAACUGUUGGGCUUGAGUGUGGUAGGGGCAGAGGGAAUUCCCGGUGUAGCGGUGAAAUGCGUAGAUAUCGGGAAGAACACCAGUGGCGAAGGCGCUCUGCUGGGCCAUCACUGACGCUCAUGGACGAAAGCCAGGGGAGCGAAAGGGAUUAGAUACCCCUGUAGUCCUGGCCGUAAACGAUGAACACUAGGUGUCGGGGGAAUCGACCCCCUCGGUGUCGUAGCCAACGCGUUAAGUGUUCCGCCUGGGGAGUACGCACGCAAGUGUGAAACUCAAAGGAAUUGACGG
This 451-nucleotide ribosomal RNA is filed under the name uncultured Synechococcus sp. Its description in RNAcentral is "bacterial SSU rRNA". It matches the Rfam family "Bacterial small subunit ribosomal RNA", at positions 467 to 916 of the family's 1533-position model. The record is from RNAcentral. Lineage: Bacteria; Bacillati; Cyanobacteriota; Cyanophyceae; Synechococcales; Synechococcaceae.